This 822-nucleotide ribosomal RNA is filed under the name 'Brassica juncea' phytoplasma. RNAcentral's name for it is "bacterial SSU rRNA". It matches the Rfam family "Bacterial small subunit ribosomal RNA", at positions 376 to 1205 of the family's 1533-position model. Lineage: Bacteria; Bacillati; Mycoplasmatota; Mollicutes; Acholeplasmatales; Acholeplasmataceae. The record is from RNAcentral.
GAGAACUCUGACCGAGCAACGCCGCGUGAAUGACGAAGUACUUCGGUAUGUAAAGUUCUUUUAUCAAGGAAGAAAAGCAAAUGGCGAACCAUUUGUUUGCCGGUACUUGAUGAAUAAGCCCCGGCUAAUUAUGUGCCAGCAGCCGCGGUAAGACAUAAGGGGCAAGUGUUAUCCGGAAUUAUUGGGCGUAAAGGGUGCGUAGGCGGUCUAGUAAGUCAGUGGUGUAAUGGCAACGCUUAACGUUGUCCGGCUAUUGAAACUGCUAAACUUGAGUUAGAUAGAGGCGAGUGGAAUUCCAUGUGUAGCGGUAAAAUGCGUAAAUAUAUGGAGGAACACCAGAGGCGUAGGCGGCUCGCUGGGUCUUAACUGACGCUGAGGCACGAAAGCGUGGGGAGCAAACAGGAUUAGAUACCCUGGUAGUCCACGCCGUAAACGAUGAGUACUAAGUGUCGGGUUAAACCGGUACUGAAGUUAACACAUUAAGUACUCCGCCUGAGUAGUACGUACGCAAGUAUGAAACUUAAAGGAAUUGACGGGACUCCGCACAAGCGGUGGAUCAUGUUGUUUAAUUCGAAGAUACCCGAAAAACCUUACCAGGUCUUGACAUGUUUUUGCAAAAUGAUAGUAAUAUCGUGGAGGUUACCAGAAACACAGGUGGUGCAUGGUUGUCGUCAGCUCGUGUCGUGAGAUGUUAGGUUAAGUCCUAAAACGAGCGAAACCCUUAUCGUUAGUUGCCAGCACGUUAUGGUGGGGACUUUAACGAGACUGCCAAUGAUAAAUUGGAGGAAGGUGAGGAUCACGUCAAAUCAGCAUGCCCCUUAU